This 21-nucleotide non-coding RNA is filed under the name Caenorhabditis elegans. Lineage: Eukaryota; Metazoa; Nematoda; Chromadorea; Rhabditida; Rhabditidae. The record is from RNAcentral.
UCCAAUACGGAAACACUGAUU